This is a long non-coding RNA of Gigantopelta aegis, 275 nucleotides long. RefSeq lists it as uncharacterized. The record is from RefSeq and is a predicted model, not a curated record. Lineage: Eukaryota; Metazoa; Mollusca; Gastropoda; Neomphalida; Peltospiridae. The transcript has 2 exons.
GAUCUUCUUGUAUUAUGCGAUCGGAAAACACUGUUAAUGUUAAGCAUGAGAUAAACAAAACUACGAUAAGCAUUGAUAACAGUGAAGAAGUCCAUAACUUUAGCAACCUCUCCAAUGUAGAGAACCUGAAGUCUUAGAUGUAUUCAUUCAUCUUGCUGAAAGAUUUAUACUUGAAGCUUAAAAACCAGGAUCUGACAGGAAGGGAAGCGGAUACACUACAGCUGAUAGAGAUCUGUUUUAUAACUGUACAAAUUUAAUAAAGUUUUACUACAGAG